RNAcentral lists this long non-coding RNA (1471 nucleotides) under Cucumis sativus (cucumber). RNAcentral describes it as "long non-coding RNA (CSAT_LNC000155)". The record is from RNAcentral. Lineage: Eukaryota; Viridiplantae; Streptophyta; Magnoliopsida; Cucurbitales; Cucurbitaceae.
UCCCCCCCCACCAAAGUAUCUACUACAAGGGUAUUCCUGUAUUUUCGAAACAAUGAAAAUAAGAAGCUGAUCAAUCAAGCAAAGUCUUAGAACUUUUGAAACUCAUCAGCAGUUCAACUUUUUUGUACUUAUAAAUACCAUCGUACCACAAAACUCAGAGAAACCAUUGUCACUCAUAGCAAGUUCCUUUUUCUCUAUAUAUUUCUCUCAUUCUCCUUCUCCUUCUCCAUGGACAUUCAUGCAAAGGUUCUCCAACACAAAGACCAACUAACUGUUGUAGCAGCAGUUUCAGUUGUUCUGUCAUUGUUUGUAUAUGCAGCUCCUCGAUUUCUAAGUAUUCUAGCUUUCUUUUGGCCUCUCUUUGCCUCCACAGCUGUACUCUUAGUGGUAAUGAACGCCUUUGGAGGUGGUUUCCAAGUCGGAACCGAGAUUCAUGGUAUGAGAGCUGGUGAAGGGAUUCUAGAUUAUGUUGCGGGAAGACCUGAAAAUGGCGAAAACCACUAUAAGUACCAAUAACAGAUUAUUUCUCACGAUCAAAUUUAAAAAACAUACACUCAAAGUUUCUGCUUGUUCAUUUUGUAUAUUCAAACUACCGAUGAGUUAGUUCAGUGGAAUAACACAUGGAUGCUCAAUGCAAAAAAUGGUUUGUAAAUUGAAUGUAAUUCUUCAAAUAUUUUGUUUGAAUCCUAAUAGGUAAGUUCAGUAACGAUAUUUGGAAUCAAUGGUCACUUAAAAGGUAACCAUGAAAAUGAAAUUUAUAGUAUCUGCCUCGAUAAAUUUGGAGUUUUGUAUGGAUAUUAACUUAACUUAAUAAUCGUCAAGAAAUCUGAAAAUUGGCCUACCUCCACCUUUUCAUAAAAAUUCUUGACGUUUUAUCUUUAAAACCACUAUUUCAAAAAACGUCAAGAAAGAAAAAUAACAAUCGUCAAGAAAGACUCUUUUUGUAGUAGUGAGUCUAUAGACAUAUCAGAAAUAGCAGUGCCCAAGUACCAUCGUUUUGGAAUUUCUAUAUUUGUAUAUACUUAUUAUUGUUCAAAUAUUUAUCUUUUAUUGCUUUUAUUUUCUCCUUAUUUGUAAAAGGUCUUUCUCCUAUUUAAGAAGACCAAUUUUGCGAUAUUUAUUAAUAAGGAUAAAUAACUUAACUCUCAACUUUAUGUUAGUAUCAAAGUAGAAAUGACAUUAAAAUCCUAAAAGUCCUAUUUUUUUUAAAAAAAAAAGACUCUUGUUUCUGCCUCGCCGCUAUUGUCCUCCGUAAUCGCUACCAGACCUUCAGAGUUUGCCAACAACCAAGUCUCCAUCGAAAACUUCGUCCAUUCUCCUUUGUCGCCAGCUAUGAGGCCCUGAUUCAGGAUGGAGUUCUAUUGAAGAGGAACUCCGUUAAGAUAGGCUAUUUUGACUAAGUAUAGAAAGAGGCAUUCUGCAAAAAAUGAUGCGAUUGGAGAAAGGGUGAUGCGAAGAAAAGUAUUUGAGU